RNAcentral lists this ribosomal RNA (2898 nucleotides) under Neisseria gonorrhoeae. Its description in RNAcentral is "23S ribosomal RNA". It matches the Rfam family "Bacterial large subunit ribosomal RNA". Lineage: Bacteria; Pseudomonadati; Pseudomonadota; Betaproteobacteria; Neisseriales; Neisseriaceae. The record is from RNAcentral.
AUAGGGUCAAGUGAAUAAGUGCAUCAGGCGGAUGCCUUGGCGAUGAUAGGCGACGAAGGACGUGUAAGCCUGCGAAAAGCGCGGGGGAGCUGGCAAUAAAGCUAUGAUUCCGCGAUGUCCGAAUGGGGAAACCCACUGCAUUCUGUGCAGUAUCCUAAGUUGAAUACAUAGGCUUAGAGAAGCGAACCCGGAGAACUGAACCAUCUAAGUACCCGGAGGAAAAGAAAUCAACCGAGAUUCCGCAAGUAGUGGCGAGCGAACGCGGAGGAGCCUGUACGUAAUAACUGUCGAGAUAGAAGAACAAGCUGGGAAGCUUGACCAUAGCGGGUGACAGUCCCGUAUUCGAAAUCUCAACAGCGGUACUAAGCGUACGAAAAGUAGGGCGGGACACGUGAAAUCCUGUCUGAAUAUGGGGGGACCAUCCUCCAAGGCUAAAUACUCAUCAUCGACCGAUAGUGAACCAGUACCGUGAGGGAAAGGCGAAAAGAACCCCGGGAGGGGAGUGAAACAGAACCUGAAACCUGAUGCAUACAAACAGUGGGAGCGCCCUAGUGGUGUGACUGCGUACCUUUUGUAUAAUGGGUCAACGACUUACAUUCAGUAGCGAGCUUAACCGGAUAGGGGAGGCGUAGGGAAACCGAGUCUUAAUAGGGCGAUGAGUUGCUGGGUGUAGACCCGAAACCGAGUGAUCUAUCCAUGGCCAGGUUGAAGGUGCCGUAACAGGUACUGGAGGACCGAACCCACGCAUGUUGCAAAAUGCGGGGAUGAGCUGUGGGUAGGGGUGAAAGGCUAAACAAACUCGGAGAUAGCUGGUUCUCCCCGAAAACUAUUUAGGUAGUGCCUCGAGCAAGACACUGAUGGGGGUAAAGCACUGUUAUGGCUAGGGGGUUAUUGCAACUUACCAACCCAUGGCAAACUCAGAAUACCAUCAAGUGGUUCCUCGGGAGACAGACAGCGGGUGCUAACGUCCGUUGUCAAGAGGGAAACAACCCAGACCGCCGGCUAAGGUCCCAAAUGAUAGAUUAAGUGGUAAACGAAGUGGGAAGGCACAGACAGCCAGGAUGUUGGCUUAGAAGCAGCCAUCAUUUAAAGAAAGCGUAAUAGCUCACUGGUCGAGUCGUCCUGCGCGGAAGAUGUAACGGGGCUCAAAUCUAUAACCGAAGCUGCGGAUGCCGGUUUACCGGCAUGGUAGGGGAGCGUUCUGUAGGCUGAUGAAGGUGCAUUGUAAAGUGUGCUGGAGGUAUCAGAAGUGCGAAUGUUGACAUGAGUAGCGAUAAAGCGGGUGAAAAGCCCGCUCGCCGAAAGCCCAAGGUUUCCUACGCAACGUUCAUCGGCGUAGGGUAAGUCGGCCCCUAAGGCGAGGCAGAAAUGCGUAGUCGAUGGGAAACAGGUUAAUAUUCCUGUACUUGAUUCAAAUGCGAUGUGGGGACGGAGAAGGUUAGGUUGGCAAGCUGUUGGAAUAGCUUGUUUAAGCCGGUAGGUGGAAGACUUAGGCAAAUCCGGGUUUUCUUAACACCGAGAAGUGAUGACGAGUGUCUACGGACACGAAGCAACCGAUACCACGCUUCCAGGAAAAGCCACUAAGCUUCAGUUUGAAUCGAACCGUACCGCAAACCGACACAGGUGGGCAGGAUGAGAAUUCUAAGGCGCUUGAGAGAACUCGGGAGAAGGAACUCGGCAAAUUGAUACCGUAACUUCGGGAGAAGGUAUGCCCUCUAAGGUUAAGGACUUGCUCCGUAAGCCCCGGAGGGUCGCAGAGAAUAGGUGGCUGCGACUGUUUAUUAAAAACACAGCACUCUGCCAACACGAAAGUGGACGUAUAGGGUGUGACGCCUGCCCGGUGCCGGAAGGUUAAUUGAAGAUGUGCAAGCAUCGGAUCGAAGCCCCGGUAAACGGCGGCCGUAACUAUAACGGUCCUAAGGUAGCGAAAUUCCUUGUCGGGUAAGUUCCGACCCGCACGAAUGGCGUAACGAUGGCCACACUGUCUCCUCCCGAGACUCAGCGAAGUUGAAGUGGUUGUGAAGAUGCAAUCUACCCGCUGCUAGACGGAAAGACCCCGUGAACCUUUACUGUAGCUUUGCAUUGGACUUUGAAGUCACUUGUGUAGGAUAGGUGGGAGGCUUGGAAGCAGAGACGCCAGUCUCUGUGGAGUCGUCCUUGAAAUACCACCCUGGUGUUUUUGAGGUUCUAACCCAGACCCGUCAUCCGGGUCGGGGACCGUGCAUGGUAGGCAGUUUGACUGGGGCGGUCUCCUCCCAAAGCGUAACGGAGGAGUUCGAAGGUUACCUAGGUCCGGUCGGAAAUCGGACUGAUAGUGCAAUGGCAAAAGGUAGCUUAACUGCGAGACCGACAAGUCGGGCAGGUGCGAAAGCAGGACAUAGUGAUCCGGUGGUUCUGUAUGGAAGGGCCAUCGCUCAACGGAUAAAAGGUACUCCGGGGAUAACAGGCUGAUUCCGCCCAAGAGUUCAUAUCGACGGCGGAGUUUGGCACCUCGAUGUCGGCUCAUCACAUCCUGGGGCUGUAGUCGGUCCCAAGGGUAUGGCUGUUCGCCAUUUAAAGUGGUACGUGAGCUGGGUUUAAAACGUCGUGAGACAGUUUGGUCUCUAUCUGCAGUGGGCGUUGGAAGUUUGACGGGGGCUGCUCCUAGUACGAGAGGACCGGAGUGGACGAACCUCUGGUGUACCGGUUGUAACGCCAGUUGCAUAGCCGGGUAGCUAAGUUCGGAAGAGAUAAGCGCUGAAAGCAUCUAAGCGCGAAACUCGCCUGAAGAUGAGACUUCCCUUGCGGUUUAACCGCACUAAAGGGUCGUUCGAGACCAGGACGUUGAUAGGUGGGGUGUGGAAGCGCGGUAACGCGUGAAGCUAACCCAUACUAAUUGCCCGUGAGGCUUGACUCUAU